Molecule: small RNA, 84 nt
Filed under: Fragilariopsis kerguelensis
Lineage: Eukaryota; Bacillariophyta; Bacillariophyceae; Bacillariales; Bacillariaceae
Description: Mitochondrion-encoded tmRNA
Source: RNAcentral
AUUCAAAGGCAGCACCCAAACUAUUUAUGGAUACUAUUACUAUUCCGAAUAAUAAUAGUGAUGAGGAUGAAACUAGUAUUGACA